CGGAGGAAAAGAAACUAACAAGGAUUCCCUUAGUAACGGCGAGUGAACCGGGAAGAGCUCAAAUUUGAAAUCUGGCUGUCUUCGAUAGUCCGAGUUGUAAUCUAUAGAAGCGUUUUCCGUGCUGAACUGUGUAUAAGUCCCUUGGAACAGGGUAUCAAAGAGGGUGACAAUCCCGUACUUUACACAAUCAUCAGUGCUCUGUGAUACGUUCUCUACGAGUCGAGUUGUUUGGGAAUGCAGCUCAAAAUGGGUGGUAAAUUCCAUCUAAAGCUAAAUAUUGGCGAGAGACCGAUAGCGAACAAGUACCGUGAGGGAAAGAUGAAAAGCACUUUGGAAAGAGAGUUAAACAGUACGUGAAAUUGUUAAAAGGGAAACGAUUGAAGUCAGUCGUGUUUAUUGGAUUCAGCCGGUCUUCGGUGUACUUCCUUUAAACGGGUCAACAUCAGUUUUGUCCGGUGGAUAAAGGCAGUAGGAAUGUGGCUCCCUCGGGAGUGUUAUAGCCUAUUGUCACAUACACUGGAGGAGACUGAGGACUGCAGCUCGCCUUUU
Molecule: ribosomal RNA, 549 nt
Filed under: Apiotrichum laibachii
Lineage: Eukaryota; Fungi; Basidiomycota; Tremellomycetes; Trichosporonales; Trichosporonaceae
Description: eukaryotic LSU rRNA
Rfam family: Eukaryotic large subunit ribosomal RNA
Source: RNAcentral